Bos indicus x Bos taurus (hybrid cattle) is the source of this 1080-nucleotide long non-coding RNA. Lineage: Eukaryota; Metazoa; Chordata; Mammalia; Artiodactyla; Bovidae. The record is from Ensembl.
AUGGAACAGCAUCAGAACUUGAGCCCAGGGCCUGCCACCCCUGUGUAUGCAUGUGACAGGUCCCUAACCUCUCUGGGCUCAGAGGGCACAUCUGUAAACCGCAGGGGGCUGGCAACCUGCUUGUCAAGGCUGCUGGAAGGCCCCGAUGGAUGCUGCAGCCCUGGGUUAAGCUCCCAGACAGAGAGGACCAGCCCCACUUCCCCUCCAGGAUCCUCAGAAUCAGGCAGUCUAGUUACAAACAGGUCUCCCUUUGGAGAGCAAGGAAGAUGGUUUAAAAGCAGAGAGCAGGGACCCAGAAAUGUGGCCUGCCUGCCCCCCACCCCAACCCAAGAAAACAGAGGCAGGGCCCUUGAGUGCAGUCUGUUCCUCUAUGAUGGUUCUCUCCUUUACUCCGUGUUCCCCGGGCACAAAGGCGUCCCUGGGGUGCCCUGGGGUCCCCGGGCACAAAGGCCUGGACCCCAGUGGGAUGCCCUUCUUUCUUUAGUGAUGAAAGGCACAGAUGAGAGCAGAUGUAGCUCCUUCGAGGAAGCAGAUAUGAAAGGCCUGGGUGCUUCUGGAAACACCUCAGAAGCAUUUGCAGCGGAAAUCAAAGCUGCAGCAAAAUUCAUAAUUGGAAACCCCUUUAUUACAUUAAUUAUCCCUCUUGGAGACCAGAGCAGGGCUUCCCAGGAAGCUUUUAACAUCCUGCAUUAUGGCCGUGGGCGUCUCAGGGCUGCGUGCGGAGAGCAUGGGCCUCGUCAAUUAUACAUGGCCCCGCAGGCAGGCGGGGGGCAUGCUCUGCUGGGAGCGGUGGGGCUGGACCACGAUCUGCUCCGCUGGGAGAGCGAGCAGAAUGUGGCUCAUCUCCAGGCUGCCCUCCGGGCUGUGCCUCCUCUGUGGAGUGAUGUGCAACUGAAGAGAAAAAUCACUCCAGUGAUGCAGGCUAACAGGGAAAAUAAUCGUUGGGAAAUUUGUGCAAAAUGGGACUUUUUCUUAAAGACUUUUUUUUUAUGUGGACCAUAUUUAAAGUCUUCAAUUUGUUACAAUAUCGUUUCUGUUUUAUGUUCUGGUUUUUGGGGCAUGAGGCAUGUGAGAUCUUAG